UACGGAGGGGGUUAGCGUUGUUCGGAAUUACUGGGCGUAAAGCGCGCGUAGGCGGAUUGGAAAGUAGGGGGUGAAAUCCCGGGGCUCAACCCUGGAAUGGCCUUCUAAACUCCCAGUCUUGAGGUCGAGAGAGGUGAGUGGAAUUCCGAGUGUAGAGGUGAAAUUCGUAGAUAUUCGGAGGAACACCAGUGGCGAAGGCGGCUCACUGGCUCGAUACUGACGCUGAGGUGCGAAAGCGUGGGGAGCAAAC
This 250-nucleotide ribosomal RNA is filed under the name uncultured bacterium. Its description in RNAcentral is "partial 16S ribosomal RNA". It matches the Rfam family "Bacterial small subunit ribosomal RNA", at positions 524 to 773 of the family's 1533-position model. The record is from RNAcentral.